Molecule: ribosomal RNA, 297 nt
Filed under: uncultured Geobacillus sp.
Lineage: Bacteria; Bacillati; Bacillota; Bacilli; Caryophanales; Anoxybacillaceae
Description: partial 16S ribosomal RNA
Rfam family: Bacterial small subunit ribosomal RNA
Source: RNAcentral
UCCCGCAACGAGCGCAACCCUCGCCUCAGUUGCCAGCAUUCGGUUGGGCACUCUAGAGGGACUGCCGGCGACAAGUCGGAGGAAGGUGGGGAUGACGUCAAAUCAUCAUGCCCCUUAUGACCUGGGCUACACACGUGCUACAAUGGGCGGUACAAAGGGCUGCGAACCCGCGAGGGGGAGCGAAUCCCAAAAAGCCGCUCUCAGUUCGGAUUGCAGGCUGCAACUCGCCUGCAUGAAGCCGGAAUCGCUAGUAAUCGCGGAUCAGCAUGCCCGCGGUCGAAUACGUUCCCGGGCCUU